CGGGAAUAUCACCUUCUAUAUUAAGUACAGUAAAUGCUGUCGUGUUAUUUCCGUAACGCCCUUCGGCGUGCUUGACCAUUCUCUCACUGAUAUCGCAGGCCAACAAAGUCUUUCUACUUUUUGUUUAAUCUUGACGAAUACUCAUUUAAAGUGUCAGCUGCAUCCUGCCUCUGAAUACUGUUACUAUUUUCGUAAAACUCUGCAUCGUCGUUCAUGAAAAUCCUGAGAAUGAAAUAGAAUUUUCGAAGAUACAAUCUAAAUUAUUUUUAGUAAGUUAAGUUGACAGAAAGAUAAAAAAAAAGAUCGCCCAUUAAUAAUAUUAAACAUUGCCAACAUGUUGCUACCAUGAACACCUUCGAACCCGUUUUACUUCACAUGACUUCAGAAACCUCAAAUUAUUUCUUUACAAUUUAAAUAGAAAUGUGCAAUAACAUAUUGUAGAUCUUUUAAAUUUUUUAUAAAAGGCAAAACACAGAAAAGGAAA
Molecule: long non-coding RNA, 484 nt
Organism: Bombyx mori (domestic silkworm)
Lineage: Eukaryota; Metazoa; Arthropoda; Insecta; Lepidoptera; Bombycidae
Exons: 2
Source: RefSeq, a predicted model, not a curated record